Molecule: long non-coding RNA, 1547 nt
Organism: Oryza brachyantha (malo sina)
Lineage: Eukaryota; Viridiplantae; Streptophyta; Magnoliopsida; Poales; Poaceae
Exons: 8
Source: RefSeq, a predicted model, not a curated record
GGUUUCAAAGUACAAAGAAGGGCCUGAGGAAUGAGCCAAAAGCGUUGAAGCCUGUUGCCGUAAUUGUCCGCUGUAGGUUUUGACUCUAAUGGCUGAUCGCAAGAGGAAAUGUGUUGUUUCCUCAACCGCACGUGGUCCGUGUCAGUUGUUGAAGUGGUUGCGACGAGUGCAACCGAGAAGAGCAUACCCGGCUCCUCCUCCAGCACCUUCUCCUUCACCAUCUCCUUCAGAUCCUUCUUCCACGUCAUCGGAAGCGAGUGGGACCAGACCUUCUUACCCUCGACCCUUAUUAUGGGGAACACGAAGCAUUGAGGACCAAAACCCUGGACAUGUACGGUGUGUGGGUUGAAGAAUUAGUUGAUUCACCACUUGCUGUUUCAUCUUCCCUCUUUCAAGUGCAAGGCUUGUGAUGCUGAACCCCCAGAGGGUAGUGUUGAUUUUGGAUUUUGUUAUGGUAACCUUGCUCUCAAUGGGUUUUGUCCUAUUGGCAAUGUGAAGGAUCAAGACGGAUCAACUUGUCUUGCAAAUGCCCUUGCAUCCGCAGUGGAGAUAACCCAAAGAAUUUCGAGGAUUAUCCGAGGAGAACCUCUAAGUGAAGAAGGACCAGUAGUUGAUGUCAAUGAUCUUCUUAUGAAAUACAAGAUAUUGUGUGAGGAAAGAGGUUUAAAAUAUGACAACUUUGAUGUGCGUUCAUUGAUCAAUAUGCUUCGUGUGUUGGAGGUGGAUGGUGUGAGGGCUAAGGGAGAUGAUAAUUUGUACAAAAUUCAUGACUGGGAUUAUAUUGAUAAGGAUGACUUUGCUACUCUUACUUCUGCUUUAGCUGAUGGAUAUCCACUUAUUGCUGGAUUUCAAACUGGCAAGAGUGUUUGUUUCCUACAGCCUGGUGAGAUUUACAUGCCACCAAAGCAAGGAAGUUAGCAUGGAUGGUAAGAGUACACCGAUAGGUCACAUGGUUUUGCUAGUUGGAGCCCAGCAGGAACGAAAAGAAAAAUUCUUCUACUUCCUCAGUUCUUGGUCCGAGGACUUCUGCUCAAGGAUGGAAGAAGGGGACGGCAUACUUGGAGGCAUUGGUGCUUUAUGUGCCGAGGGAAUAGAUUUUCCGCCAAUUCAGAUUUUGAGAUUCAAUGAAAGGCGCAAUCAGGAGGUCUAUCAUCCUGAAUUUCCUAGCUUGUAGCUUGUAAGAUGGAAAGAUUGUGCCUGCUAGAUGACCUGCUGAUUUUCGAUGGGAUCCUGUUUUCCAACCAGACGGUUUUGAUCAAACCUAUGCGGAGAUGCCCAAGUCAGCGACGAAUCAAAUAUCUCACAGGGAUAAGCUCUUGCUUUGGUAAAAGAACACUUUGCAGCUGUCAACUAUAAAGUUCAGAUCGAUGGUUCAGCUUGAACUUUGGUGGGAUUAUCUAUACUUCCAUAGUGAUUUUUGCCAGUUCCCCAAGUUGUGAGAACCACAUGAAGAUGUCAAAUACAUUGAGUCGCCUAGCUAUCUGGAUGUGAAUUGAUAGUAGGGGGUAAUUGUUUGGCUUUUCUGAAAAAACCAAAUAACAUAUUUA